GCGCCCGAUUAGCUAGUUGGUGAGGUAAUGGCUCACCAAGGCAAUGAUCGGUAGCUGGUCUGAGAGGAUGGCCAGCCACACUGGAACUGAGACACGGUCCAGACUCCUACGGGAGGCAGCAGUGGGGAAUCUUGGACAAUGGGGGAAACCCUGAUCCAGCCAUGCCGCGUGAGUGAUGAAGGCCUUCGGGUUGUAAAACUCUUUCGACGGGGACGAUAAUGACGGUACCCGUAGAAGAAGCUCCGGCUAACUUCGUGCCAGCAGCCGCGGUAAUACGAAGGGGGCUAGCGUUGUUCGGAAUUACUGGGCGUAAAGCGCGCGCAGGCGGUCUUCCAAGUCAGUGGUGAAAGCCCGGAGCUCAACUCCGGAACUGCCAUUGAAACUGUAAGACUUGAGGAUGAGAGAGGUGAGUGGAAUUCCCAGUGUAGAGGUGAAAUUCGUAGAUAUUGGGAAGAACACCGGUGGCGAAGGCGGCUCACUGGCUCAUAUCUGACGCUCAGGCGCGACAGCGUGGGGAUCAAACAGGAUUAGAUACCCUGGUAGUCCACGCCGUAAACGAUGAAUGCUAGCCGUUGGGCAGCUUGCUGUUCAGUGGCGCAGCUAACGCAUUAAGCAUUCCGCCUGGGGAGUACGGCCGCAAGGUUGAA
This 647-nucleotide ribosomal RNA is filed under the name uncultured bacterium. RNAcentral's name for it is "bacterial SSU rRNA". It matches the Rfam family "Bacterial small subunit ribosomal RNA", at positions 233 to 898 of the family's 1533-position model. The record is from RNAcentral.